UGGUCGCGUAGCCGGGCUUCGGCUCGGUUGCAAGGCCAGCUACUCCUUUGAGCACGGACUUUCAAGGGUGCUUGCCGUAUGCGGAACCGCCCACCACGUCUCGUUGCGUGGUCACCCACAGGCUCGACUGUCGAUCGCGUGUUCACCUCGUUCGCAGAGAUGUGUUGGUGUCUCGCCUCCCUUCUAGGAGACGGGACGACACUAGCGGCGAGGCUAGUGUAAUUGAACCGGACGGCGACUGAGAUAAACCUGGUAUGAUCCACUUGCGACGAGACGCU
This 278-nucleotide ribosomal RNA is filed under the name Crangonyx pseudogracilis. RNAcentral describes it as "partial 28S ribosomal RNA". The record is from RNAcentral. Lineage: Eukaryota; Metazoa; Arthropoda; Malacostraca; Amphipoda; Crangonyctidae.